CGCCUCCGCCGCGUCACCGCCGUCACCGGCCAGUGCCGCGGCCUCGUCGUCCUGGAGGCAGACAGGCCCACCACCAUCAUCCGCGACCUCAAGGUAAACCACUACGUGUGGAACCCCUCCACCGGCCAGAUCACGGCGCUCCCCAAGGGCAACGAGUCCUUGGGGAUUGGCUACGACACGCGCAUCCGCAAGCACAAGGUGCGCGGCGACCUCCCCCCGGCGUGCGAGGUGUAUGUACUCAACUCCACGGGACAAUGGCGGCCACCAGGCUUUGCAACGAAUUUCUCCAGCGACCAGAGCAUAUUUGCGCAGGGCCACCUGCACUGGGUCGCGGAGCCGGACAAGGAGUUCAACUUCGGAAGGAUCAUCAUGUCCUUCUCCAUCAUGCCACCACCGCCCAUUAAAAUGUACCCCUGCCAGAUAGUGGAGCUCAACGGGCAUCUCUGUGUCUUCAACAAUUCCGACGAGUUCAAGCGCUCAUAUGAUAUCUGGGUGCUGCGUGACCACCAGGCGGGCGCUUGGGAUCUCCAUUGCUGCAUUGACCUGGACACGCCACCGCUGUCAGACACUCAGUUGAUGCGAUCCUGUUCUAUCAUCCCAAUUGGCAGUGUUGAUGAUGGCAGCCGCCUGCUGCUGAGACCGGAUCCUCAUUGGAACAACACAAACAAUUGGAAAUCCCACCAGAUUUUCAUGUACAGACCUGCGGACGGAGAUGUUGAGGACCUUCUCACAGGCGGCGGCAUAAUUACUCACCACACCGUGGCCCGAAGAGUUGUGGCACCAUAUGAGGAAAGCCUUGAGUCCACCGGACCGUGA
Molecule: ribosomal RNA, 816 nt
Filed under: Triticum aestivum (bread wheat)
Lineage: Eukaryota; Viridiplantae; Streptophyta; Magnoliopsida; Poales; Poaceae
Description: partial small subunit ribosomal RNA
Source: RNAcentral